GGUCAAGUUAAAAAGAGCACUAGGAGAAUGCCUAGGCACCAAGAGGCGAAGAAGGACGUGACAAGCUGCGAAAAGCUGAGGUUAGCUGCAAAUAAGCCAAGCCUCAGAUAUCCGAAUGGGGAAACCCACCUCAAAAGAGGAAUCCUAUAGCCAAUAAAUAACUAUAGGAAGCGAACCAGGUGAACUGAAACAUCUAAGUAACCUGAGGAAGAGAAAGAAAACUCGAUUCCCAAAGUAGCGGCGAGCGAACAGGGAAGAGCCCAAACGUGUAAAAAGAGAAAAUAGCCAGUCGAAUCAUCUGGGAAGACGAACCAAAGAAGGUAACAGUCCCGUAGACGAAGGCGAAGAUAUCCGACACAAAAGAGUACCACGGAACACGAGAAAUUCAGUGGGAAUACAGGGGGACCACCCCCUAAGGCUAAAUACUACUUGGUGACCGAUAGCGAACAAGUACCGUGAGGGAAAGGUGAAAAGAACCCCGGGAGGGGAGUGAAAUAGAAUCUGAAACCUAGUGUUUACAAGCAGCGAAAGUGGCAGAAGCCACGAUCGUGUACUUUUUGUAGAACGGGCCAGCGAGUUACGAUUACAAGCAAGGUUAAACAUUAAAGAUGUGGAGCCGAAGCGAAAGCGAGUCUAAAGAGGGCAAAAGUUAGUAGUCGUAGACCCGAAACCGUGUGAUCUAUCCAUGAGCAGAGUGAAGUUGAAGUAAAAUUCAAUGGAGGCUCGAACCGGGUAGCGUUUAAAAGCUAUCGGAUGACUUGUGGAUAGGGGUGAAAAGCCAAACGAACACGGAGAUAGCUGGUUCUCCUCGAAAUAGCUUUAGGGCUAGCCUCUAGCAAGAAUGAAAAGGGGGUAGAGCACUGACUGGUCAAGGGGCAUGCAUAUGUUACCGAGACCUAUCAAACUCCGAAUACCAAAUCAUACGCUAGGGAGUCAGACUAUGGGGGAUGAGCUUCAUAGUCGAAAGGGAAAGAGCCCAGACCAUCAGCUAAGGUCCCAAAAUUAUAGUUAAGUGGGAAAGGAUGUGGAGUUACUGAGACAACUAGGAUGUUGGCUUAGAAGCAGCCACUCAUUUAAAGAGUGCGUAAUAGCUCACUAGUCAAGUGACUCUGCGCCGAAGAUAACCGGGGCUAAACUAUAUACCGAAGCUAUGGAACGAAAAACGUUGGUAGAGGAGCAAUGUAUGAAGGAAGAAGCAGAAGUUGAAAAGCACUGUGGACAUCAUACAAGAGAGAAUGCUGGCAUGAGUAGCGAGAGGUGAGUGAGAAUCUCACCCGUCGAAAACCUAAGGAUUCCUGAGCAAGGCUCGUCCACUCAGGGUAAGUCGGGACCUAAGGCGAGGCUGAAAAGCGUAGUCGAUGGACAACAGGUUGAAAAUCCUGUACCGAUACAAUCAGUGAGGAAGUGGGGACGCAGAAGGAUAAUAAGAGCGCCCAGUUGGUGAGGCGUGCAAGCGCAAAGGAUGGAAAGUAGGCAAAUCCGCUUUCCGAGAAGUCUAAAGCGUGAUGCGGAUCGAAAACAAGUAGAGAAGCUUAUAACUCCACACUGCCAAGAAAAGCCACUACAAGAGAAGUAUCGCCCGUACCGCAAACCGACACAGGUAGGUGAGGAGAGAAUCCUAAGACGAGCGGAAAAACCUUUGUUAAGGAACUCGGCAAAAUGACCCCGUAACUUCGGGAGAAGGGGAGCCCCUGUAAAAGGGGGCCGCAGUGAAAAGGCCCAAGCGACUGUUUACCAAAAACACAAGUUUCUGCGAAGUCGAAAGACGAAGUAUAGGAGCUGACACCUGCCCGGUGCUGGAAGGUUAAGGGAAAAAGUUAGCAUAAGCGAAGCUUAGAACUGAAGCCCCAGUAAACGGCGGCCGUAACUAUAACGGUCCUAAGGUAGCGAAAUUCCUUGUCGGGUAAGUUCCGACCCGCACGAAAGGUGUAACGAUUUGGG
This 1941-nucleotide ribosomal RNA is filed under the name Enterococcus faecium. RNAcentral's name for it is "partial 23S ribosomal RNA". It matches the Rfam family "Bacterial large subunit ribosomal RNA", at positions 1 to 2013 of the family's 2925-position model. Lineage: Bacteria; Bacillati; Bacillota; Bacilli; Lactobacillales; Enterococcaceae. The record is from RNAcentral.